GAUGAACGCUGGCGGCGUGCUUAACACAUGCAAGUCGAACGGGAAACCUUUUAUUGCAGCUUCGGCAGAUUUAGCUGGUUUCUAGUGGCGGACGGGUGAGUGACGCGUGGGUAACCUGCCUUAUACAGGGGGAUAACAGUCAGAAAUGGCUGCUAAUACCGCAUAAGCGCACAGAGCUGCAUGGCUCAGUGUGCAAAACUCCGGUGGUAUAAGAUGGACCCGCGUUGGAUUAGCUGGUUGGUGGGGUAACGGCCCACCAAGGCGACGAUCCAUAGCCGGCCUGAGAGGGUGAACGGCCACAUUGGGACUGAGACACGGCCCAGACUCCUACGGGAGGCAGCAGUGGGGAAUAUUGCACAAUGGGGGAAACCCUGAUGCAGCGACGCCGCGUGAAGGAAGAAGUAUCUCGGUAUGUAAACUUCUAUCAGCAGGGAAGAUAAUGACGGUACCUGACUAAGAAGCCCCGGCUAACUACGUG
RNAcentral lists this ribosomal RNA (478 nucleotides) under uncultured bacterium. RNAcentral's name for it is "partial 16S ribosomal RNA". It matches the Rfam family "Bacterial small subunit ribosomal RNA", at positions 28 to 507 of the family's 1533-position model. The record is from RNAcentral.